GAUUGGUGGCAGAUGUUAGCUCAGGGCUAAUCUUCCUCAAAAAAAAAAAAAAGAUAUUUGCUUGGAAAUGUUGAGAGAAUCUUGUCAAACAGGGUGGCUCAACGGCCAUUUUCCAGUGACACAAAACUUAACGUCAUGCAGGAUCAACUAUAAAACAAAUAAAGCUGAUAAGAAGAAAGGGAAAAAGAAAAGUUGGAAGCUUGGACAAACAAUUUCUACAGAGUGUUGAUGUCCUGUAAUUUAACAGCAACUAAUAAUAAAGAAUUCACGUAUAUUGUAUUUUACGAAACUACAGGUCUGUGAUGACUUGGAAAGUGGAAAACAAACUGGUCCUUCUCCACAGACGAUCUGAGAAGCACUCAGAGAUUAUUUUUCUGCCUCUAGUUUGGAGCAUUUCUGAGCUGUCCCAAAAUCAACAUUCCACUUUUCCUGAAUCACUACUAGCCAAACCUACCCUGAUCUCUUGUCUGUCUUAGGCACAGCACC
This 486-nucleotide long non-coding RNA is filed under the name Equus caballus (horse). RNAcentral describes it as "lncRNA (ENSECAG00000051489.1)". The record is from RNAcentral. Lineage: Eukaryota; Metazoa; Chordata; Mammalia; Perissodactyla; Equidae.